Molecule: ribosomal RNA, 468 nt
Filed under: uncultured bacterium
Lineage: Bacteria
Description: partial 16S ribosomal RNA
Rfam family: Bacterial small subunit ribosomal RNA
Source: RNAcentral
GACGAACGCUGGCGGCGUGCUUAACACGUGCAAGUCGAACGGAAAGGCCCUGCUUUUGUGGGGUGCUCGAGUGGCGAACGGGUGAGUAACACGCGAGUAACCUGCCCUUGACUUUGGGAUAACUUCAGGAAACUGGGGCUAAUACCGGAUAGGAGCUCCUGCUGCAUGGUGGGGGUUGGAAAGUUUCGGCGGUUGGGGAUGGACUCGCGGCUUAUCAGCUUGUUGGUGGGGUAGUGGCUUACCAAGGCUUUGACGGGUAGCCGGCCUGAGAGGGUGACCGGCCACAUUGGGACUGAGAUACGGCCCAGACUCCUACGGGAGGCAGCAGUGGGGAAUAUUGCACAAUGGGCGGAAGCCUGAUGCAGCAACGCCGCGUGCGGGAUGACGGCCUUCGGGUUGUAAACCGCUUUCGCCUGUGACGAAGCGUGAGUGACGGUAAUGGGUAAAGAAGCACCGGCUAACUACGUG